Molecule: long non-coding RNA, 432 nt
Organism: Pezoporus occidentalis (night parrot)
Lineage: Eukaryota; Metazoa; Chordata; Aves; Psittaciformes; Psittacidae
Exons: 4
Source: RefSeq, a predicted model, not a curated record
UGCACCGCAGCGCCGCGCUGUGGUCACUGUUGGUAACUGCAGCGCCGCCGCUGUCCGUGACCAGCACCGUGUAGGGCAGCCCCUGCGCGUCGAUGAGCAGGCACCUAUAGAGCGCUCCCUUCGCCAUCGCUCCCUGCGCCUCUUCACGCACGGGCGGCGGCCGCCGGGAGGAUGCGGAGCGGGUCAAAAAGGACGAGGAGACCUUUGAGGUCUCGCUCCCCUUCGAGGAGCCCCCCCCGGUGGAGCCCCCCCUGUUCUACAGCAUCAGCCCCCCCCCGGGCGCCUAUGAAGACCCCCCCGGCCCGCGGGUGCAGCUGAGCCUGGCCCUGGAGCGCAAUUCCUGGCUCCAGAAGCGGAUCCAGGACCUGGAGGAGGAGCGGGAUUUCCUGCGCAGGCAGCUCCAGGGAUUCAUCUGGGGCAGCCGUGAGUGAG